UGGAUACAAAGGAUACGGUGGCGACGCCGAUUAAGAGAAGACAGAGGACGGAAGACACGUGUCGUGAUCUAGAGAAGGAUUUGACUUUGAGC
RNAcentral lists this small RNA (92 nucleotides) under Arabidopsis thaliana (thale cress). RNAcentral's name for it is "ATSL120480". The record is from RNAcentral. Lineage: Eukaryota; Viridiplantae; Streptophyta; Magnoliopsida; Brassicales; Brassicaceae.